This 164-nucleotide ribosomal RNA is filed under the name Ixodes uriae (common seabird tick). RNAcentral describes it as "partial 16S ribosomal RNA". Lineage: Eukaryota; Metazoa; Arthropoda; Arachnida; Ixodida; Ixodidae. The record is from RNAcentral.
CCCUGAUGCACAAGGUACUUAACAAUACUUAUUUAAUUUUUACUUAUUCAUAUUUUUCAACAUAUUCCUUCUCAGUACUUAGAUUAUAUAAAUUCUUUUUUUAAUAUUUGUUUUACAAAACUUAUAUCUAUAAUCUUUUAUAUUACUUAUACAGAACUCAAACU